This 305-nucleotide ribosomal RNA is filed under the name uncultured bacterium. Its description in RNAcentral is "bacterial SSU rRNA". It matches the Rfam family "Bacterial small subunit ribosomal RNA", at positions 333 to 630 of the family's 1533-position model. The record is from RNAcentral.
AUUAUCCUACGGGGGGCAGCAGUAGGGAAUCUUCCACAAUGGGCGAAAGCCUGAUGGAGCAACGCCGCGUGGGUGAAGAAGGUUUUCGGAUCGUAAAGCUCUGUUGUAAGAGAAGAACGUGUGUGAGAGUGGAAAGUUCACACAGUGACGGUAACUUACCAGAAAGGGACGGCUAACUACGUGCCAGCAGCCGCGGUAAUACGUAGGUCCCGAGCGUUAUCCGGAUUUAUUGGGCGUAAAGCGAGCGCAGGCGGUUGGAUAAGUCUGAAGUUAAAGGCUGUGGCUUAACCAUAGUAUGCUUUGGG